AGAGAAUAACAGGCUGAUUGAGCUAUGGUUGAAACUUGCUCUUGGGUUUAUCUUGCUAGUUUAUGGCUGGUGAUCACAGUAUCAAGUAUCUGGUCACAGUCAACUUCAAAUCAGGUAGAAAGAUUCAAGAAGUCCAAUCGCCUUAUGAUGAUUAGUUUGAUCAUGAGGUUCUCUACCUGGGGAUGAACAACUUGCCCGUGAGAGAGAGAGGCCAGUAACCAUUGCAGAGCGGAUGAUCAAGCUGGUGGAGAAAAUCCACCACAAGCCCAAUGGCAUUGGCAUCAUUCUGCCAAGGAGUGAGAACAGUUUCAAAAUUGCCGGAAGUGAUGAAGAAAGAAUAGACUUCUGGAAUGGCAAAGCAACCUCGACGAAAGUCAUGUAUCGACAAUAUUGUGUAAAAGGCACCAAAAUAUAUCACAAAGGCCGCAAAGACAGUUCAUCGUGUGUGUUGUUUCUCAUUCUGCAAAGACAGUGAACAUGUAAUCCUAUAGUUUGACACCAUACACAACGUUUUACCAUUACCAUAGUAUAAUAUACCACUCUCAUUGUAUAAUUUUGUACAUUACGAAACAUGUGUUCUGUCAUGAAUAAUAAUGUGGUUAUGUAAAUUAACAAUUUAUUGUUACUUUCGCAAUUUUUCAUAUGUUUUGAAAAAAAAUUAAAAGGUAUUAUGUACUUCAUUGGAUAAUUAUUUUAUACUAGCUUAUGAAUAAUUAUUUUAUACUAGCUCAUGAAAAAAGAAUAAGCUAUUUUGCACUUUAUUUACAUUAUCAUUGAGCAAUGCACUGGCUGUAAUUGAUGGCUUGUCUAUCUUCUCGUGCACAUCAUCUACUGACUGAAUGAAAUAAUUAUUAAGUUUGUUUAGUUCAGGAGUAGAUAAGUUUACAACAUUCUUGUUGAAGGAUAAAGUUUUGAUAAUUUGCCAUGCUUUCUUACAUUUGUUAUUAGAGGAUUCAAUGAUUGAUGCAACAGAAUCCCUCUUGGCUUCAUCCAAUGAAUUUCUGUACAGUGCUCUGCAUCUAAGAUAAAGUGUUUUCGAAUGUUCGGUUUUUUGUUUUUUGAAGUUUUCAUGUAAGAGUGAGCAGAAUCUUAAUCUUACUAAGUUCAGGUGUUUCCAGUCAGCCUUACAUUUGAAAUUCUUUCUAUUAUUAACUUGGGAAACUUUUUUUCUACAGGUCUUUCUAGGGAUAGUUAGAUUGAAAUAAUAUAAAACUGUAUUGAGGAAGGAUUCGAAUAUAUCACUUGCAUCUGACUUUUCCAUGACAGCACUCCAAUUCACCAAAUUCAGAGACCGAUUAAAUUGUAGUAAUUUAUCUUAUAACAGGUCUUGAAGUAAUAGUGACAAAAUCGUUAGAACUAGACUCAACAGAACCACAGGGCACACAUAUCGUGACACAAUCAUGAUCAGAGUAGGAAAAUCCUAUAACACUUGAAUUUGUCAUAUCAGGUUGAACGUUUGAAAAAAUAUUAUCGAGACAGGCUUGGUCUCUAGUGGGCAGAGUAUUGAAAAUAUGAUGAUUAAAUUGUCUCAAUAGAUUUUUCAAAUUAUUGGAAUGACAGGUUUCCUGAUUGACAUCAAAGGCAGAAUUAAGAUCUCCACCAAGAACAAUAGUAUGGUCAUUAUAACAUCGUCUAGACAAAAAUAGAAGCAAUUCCUCCAAUUUGGCUAAAAAAUACUUUUGGGUCUCCACAAGGAGAUCUGUACAAUGAUACGAUAAUGAGUUUCCUGGCUCCAAUAAUAGUACAGGUGGCCUCAAACUCACGUUCAAUACAUAGAAAAUUCAGACUCAAUUCUUGACUUUGAGAGUAAAGAUUCUUACUGACAAAUAUUGCAACUCCGCCAUUUUUGUGUAAUAAUCUACAGUAACUACUUGAUGCAAUACAAACAUCCAUUUUACUAUAUACGAUUUCAUCAGUAAGCAACCAAUGUUCACUUAUACCUAUAAUAGCAAUAUCUUCAUUAAUUCUAUAUUUGGUUUUGAAUAAACAAGAUAUACUUACUAAUGUAAUCAUUGAUAAGGUGAGUUUCAUUUCUAAAUGAAUAUAAAUUAAGUUUAUUGAUGUUGUUAUAGAGAGCAUUUGCAAUAAAUUUUAGUUA
Molecule: long non-coding RNA, 2098 nt
Organism: Nilaparvata lugens (brown planthopper)
Lineage: Eukaryota; Metazoa; Arthropoda; Insecta; Hemiptera; Delphacidae
Exons: 3
Source: RefSeq, a predicted model, not a curated record